GAUGAACGCUAGCGGAAGGCUUAAUACAUGCAAGUCGAGCGGUAGGUGGCUUCGGCCAUUGAGAGCGGCGCACGGGUGAGUAACGCGUACAUGACCUGCCUGUCAGAAGGGGAUAGCCCUGGGAAACUGGGAUUAAUACCCUAUGGUAUUGAUAUUAUGAAUGAUAUCAAUUAAAGUUGAGGCGCUGACAGAUGGAUGUGCGUCUGAUUAGCUAGUUGGUAGGGUAACGGCCUACCAAGGCGACGAUCAGUAGGGGGCGUGAGAGCGUGGUCCCCCAGACGGGUACUGAGACACGGACCCGACUCCUACGGGAGGCAGCAGUAAGGAAUAUUGGUCAAUGCCCGCAAGGGUGAACCAGCCAAUUCCGCGUGGAGGAUGAAGGCCCCUAUGGGGUUGUAAAACUUCUUUUAGAUGGGAAGAAAAUGCUAGAUGUAUCUGGUACUGACGGUACCAUCAGAAUAAGC
Molecule: ribosomal RNA, 464 nt
Filed under: uncultured bacterium
Lineage: Bacteria
Description: bacterial SSU rRNA
Rfam family: Bacterial small subunit ribosomal RNA
Source: RNAcentral